CUGGCUCAGGACGAACGCUGGCGGCGUGCCUAAUACAUGCAAGUCGAACGGUCUUUCUAUGGAAGCUUGCUUCCACUGAAAAGAUAGUGGCGAACGGGUGAGUAACACGUGGGUAACCUGCCCAUAAGAGGGGGGAUAACAUCCGGAAACGGGUGCUAAUACCGCAUAGUUUUCUUGAUCGCAUGAUCGGGAAAGGAAAGACGGCCUUUGUGCUGUCGCUUAUGGAUGGACCCGCGGCGUAUUAGUUAGUUGGUGAGGUAACGGCUCACCAAGACGAUGAUACGUAGCCGACCUGAGAGGGUGAUCGGCCACAUUGGGACUGAGACACGGCCCAAACUCCUACGGGAGGCAGCAGUAGGGAAUCUUCCGCAAUGGACGAAAGUCUGACGGAGCAACGCCGCGUGAGUGAAAGAAGGUUUUCGGAUCGUAAAACUCUGUUGUCAGAGAAGAACAAGUUGGAGAGUAACUGCUCCAGCCUUGACGGUAUCUGACCAGAAAGCCACGGCUAACUACGUGCCAGCCGCCGC
RNAcentral lists this ribosomal RNA (527 nucleotides) under uncultured bacterium. RNAcentral's name for it is "bacterial SSU rRNA". It matches the Rfam family "Bacterial small subunit ribosomal RNA", at positions 19 to 518 of the family's 1533-position model. The record is from RNAcentral.